UGGGGAAUAUUGCACAAUGGGCGAAAGCCUGAUGCAGCAACGCCGCGUGAAGGAAGAAGGGUUUCGGCUCGUAAACUCCUAUCAAUCGGGAAGAAAGAAAUGACGGUACCGAAAUAAGAAGCCCCGGCUAACUUCGUGCCAGCAGCCGCGGUAAUACGAAGGGGGCAAGCGUUGUUCGGAAUUACUGGGCGUAAAGCGCACGCAGGCGGCGUGACGCGUCAGAAGUGAAAUCCCCGGGCUCAACCUGGGAACUGCUUUUGAAACGGUCAUGCUUGAAUCAUGGAGAGGGUAGCGGAAUUCCGAGUGUAGAGGUGAAAUGCUUAGAUAUCACGAAGAACUCCGAUUGCGUAGGCAGCUUACUAAACUAUAACUGACACUGAGGCACGAAAGUGUGGGUAUCAAACA
Molecule: ribosomal RNA, 405 nt
Filed under: uncultured bacterium
Lineage: Bacteria
Description: bacterial SSU rRNA
Rfam family: Bacterial small subunit ribosomal RNA
Source: RNAcentral